CACGACCAUGGUGCUCUGGAUGUGCGCCACACCAGGCCAUGGCCUGUGCCUCCUCUAUACGUAGGUAGGAGAAAGGUCAGGAUGGGCUGGGCAAAAAGCACUGUAGCAGCAUAGAGCCCAUCUAUAUAGUAACGUUUUAGUAUUUUCUUUUUCUUUUGUUUAAUUUCUGCUUUAGUAUUUCUAUUUUGUUUUGGCUUUAUUUACAACACCAUUUAGCUUUUGUAAAAUAUGUGACCUAGUCCAUUAUUCACAUUGCAAUAUUGAGCACGACCACACAAAGUUUG
RNAcentral lists this long non-coding RNA (284 nucleotides) under Hordeum vulgare. RNAcentral describes it as "long non-coding RNA (HVUL_LNC001019)". The record is from RNAcentral. Lineage: Eukaryota; Viridiplantae; Streptophyta; Magnoliopsida; Poales; Poaceae.